This 559-nucleotide ribosomal RNA is filed under the name uncultured bacterium. RNAcentral's name for it is "bacterial SSU rRNA". It matches the Rfam family "Bacterial small subunit ribosomal RNA", at positions 350 to 902 of the family's 1533-position model. The record is from RNAcentral.
AGCAGUGGGGAAUUUUGGACAAUGGGCGCAAGCCUGAUCCAGCCAUGCCGUGUGCAGGAUGAAGGCCUUCGGGUUGUAAACUGCUUUUGUACGGAACGAAAAGACUCUGGUUAAUACCUGGGGUCCAUGACGGUACCGUAAGAAUAAGCACCGGCUAACUACGUGCCAGCAGCCGCGGUAAUACGUAGGGUGCGAGCGUUAAUCGGAAUUACUGGGCGUAAAGCGUGCGCAGGCGGUUAUAUAAGACAGAUGUGAAAUCCCCGGGCUCAACCUGGGAACUGCAUUUGUGACUGUAUAGCUAGAGUACGGCAGAGGGGGAUGGAAUUCCGCGUGUAGCAGUGAAAUGCGUAGAUAUGCGGAGGAACACCGAUGGCGAAGGCAACCCCCUGGGCCUGUACUGACGCUCAUGCACGAAAGCGUGGGGAGCAAACAGGAUUAGAUACCCUGGUAGUCCACGCCCUAAACGAUGUCAACUGGUUGUUGGGUCUUCACUGACUCAGUAACGAAGCUAACGCGUGAAGUUGACCGCCUGGGGAGUACGGCCGCAAGGUUGAAACUC